ACGGGAGGCAGCAGUGGGGAAUAUUGGGCAAUGGGCGAAAGCCUGACCCAGCAACGCCGCGUGAAGGAAGAAGGUCUUCGGAUUGUAAACUUCUUUUAUGAGGGACGAAGGACGUGACGGUACCUCAUGAAUAAGCUACGGCUAACUACGUGGCAGCAGCCGCGGUAAUACGUAGGUAGCGAGCGUUAUCCGGAUUUACUGGGUGUAAAGGGCGCGUAGGCGGGGAAGCAAGUCAGGUGUGAAAUCUAUGGGCUUAACCCAUAAACUGCACUUGAAACUGUUUUUCUUGAGUGCUGGAGAGGUAGACGGAAUUCCUAGUGUAGCGGUGAAAUGUGUAGAUAUUAGGAAGAACACCAGUGGCGAAGGCGGUCUACUGGACAGUAACUGACGCUGAGGCGCGAAAGCGUGGGGAGCAAACAGGAUUAGAUACCCUGGUA
RNAcentral lists this ribosomal RNA (437 nucleotides) under uncultured Oscillospiraceae bacterium. RNAcentral describes it as "partial 16S ribosomal RNA". It matches the Rfam family "Bacterial small subunit ribosomal RNA", at positions 341 to 792 of the family's 1533-position model. The record is from RNAcentral. Lineage: Bacteria; Bacillati; Bacillota; Clostridia; Eubacteriales; Oscillospiraceae.